AUUGAACGCUGGCGGAAUGCUUUACACAUGCAAGUCGAGCGGCAGCGCGGCCUUCGGGCUGGCUGCGAGCGGCGAACGGGUGAGUAAUGCAUCGGAACAUGCCCAGUCGUGGGGGAUAACACUUCGAAAGAAGUGCUAAUACCGCAUACGUCCUGAGGGGGAAAGCGGGGGAUCGCAAGACCUCGCGCGAUUGGAGUGGCCGAUGUCCGAUUAGCUAGUUGGUGGGGUAAAGGCCUACCAAGGCGACGAUCUGUAGCUGGUCUGAGAGGAUGUUCAGCCACACUGGGACUGGGACACGGCCCAGACUCCUGCGGGAGGCAGCAGUGGGGAAUUUUGGACAAUGGGGGCAACCCUGAUCCAGCCAUUCCGCGUGAGUGGAGGAGGCCUUCGGGUUGUAAAGCUCUUUCGGCAGGAACGAAACGGUGGGCUCUAACAUAGUCCGCGAAUGACGGUACCUGAAGAAGAAGCACCGGCUAACUACGUG
Molecule: ribosomal RNA, 484 nt
Filed under: uncultured bacterium
Lineage: Bacteria
Description: partial 16S ribosomal RNA
Rfam family: Bacterial small subunit ribosomal RNA
Source: RNAcentral